CUAAAAGGAUAAGAAUUUUGAGAUCCUCCUCAAAGUCCAGCACGAUAAAGUUAACAAGAAAAAUAAAUUUCCUAACCCUCACUAACACAACCUCAAGGACUUCCUUGGGGUGUACCAAAGAUUAUUCGACUAAUUGCAAGGUGACUGUCAUUUCCUUAAGCUCUCUCAAACCUAGCCUCCUAUAGAUGAACAGUGGCAUGAGAUUAAUGCUUGCCCUUAAGUCACAUAGGG
Molecule: long non-coding RNA, 231 nt
Filed under: Gossypium raimondii (Peruvian cotton)
Lineage: Eukaryota; Viridiplantae; Streptophyta; Magnoliopsida; Malvales; Malvaceae
Description: long non-coding RNA (GRAI_LNC009601)
Source: RNAcentral